RNAcentral lists this ribosomal RNA (253 nucleotides) under uncultured bacterium. RNAcentral describes it as "partial 16S ribosomal RNA". It matches the Rfam family "Bacterial small subunit ribosomal RNA", at positions 524 to 776 of the family's 1533-position model. The record is from RNAcentral.
UACAGAGGGUGCAAGCGUUAUUCGGAAUUAUUGGGCGUAAAGAGCGCGUAGGCGGUCUGAUAAGUCUGGUGUGAAAUCCCUGGACUCAAUUCAGGAAGCGCAUUGGAUACUGUCAGACUCGAGUACAGGAGAGGUGAGCGGAAUUCCCGGUGUAGAGGUGAAAUUCGUAGAUAUCGGGAGGAACAACAGUGGCGAAGGCGGCUCACUGGACUGUAACUGACGCUGAGGCGCGAAAGCGUGGGGAGCAAACAGG